UACGUAGGGGGCUAGCGUUGUCCGGAUUUAUUGGGCGUAAAGCGCGCGCAGGCGGCUUACCAAGUCGGUCGUGAAAUCUCUCGGCUCAACCGGGAGGGGUCGGGCGAAACUGGUAGGCUUGAGGAUGGUAGGGGCAAGCGGAAUUCCCGGUGUAGUGGUGGAAUGCGUAGAUAUCGGGAGGAACACCAGUGGCGAAGGCGGCUUGCUGGACCAUUUCUGACGCUGAGGCGCGAAAGCGUGGGGAGCGAUCCGG
This 253-nucleotide ribosomal RNA is filed under the name uncultured bacterium. Its description in RNAcentral is "partial 16S ribosomal RNA". It matches the Rfam family "Bacterial small subunit ribosomal RNA", at positions 524 to 776 of the family's 1533-position model. The record is from RNAcentral.